AAUAAACCAAUCUUUUACUUUUUAUCUAUAAUGUUUGACUCUUCGUCUUAUUUAAAAAAAAUUACGAUUAAUAUUUUUGUUUUUAUUAGAUGAUAAAUUGUGAAUAGUAUUUUACGUGUGACUAUUUUUUAUAAAAUUUUUUAAAAAUUUUUCAAAUAAGACGGAUAGUCAAACGCUGGACACGCAAACCUAAAGUUUGUCUUAUU
This 206-nucleotide microRNA precursor is filed under the name Oryza brachyantha (malo sina). Its description in RNAcentral is "MIR812 microRNA precursor family". It matches the Rfam family "MIR812 microRNA precursor family". Lineage: Eukaryota; Viridiplantae; Streptophyta; Magnoliopsida; Poales; Poaceae. The record is from Rfam by way of RNAcentral.